CCGCCCGCGCCUGCGCCAGCGCCUCGGCGGCCCGCAGGUUUCUCGUAGUCUUCUGCGCCUGCGCAAAGAGCGUGGGCUCUCGGGAGUGGUUAUAGUGUGGCGGCGGUUGCUGUAGUGAGAAGCCCCACAUGGAGCCUCCCUCGGGCACAGCAGGAUAUCUGCCUCAUUUGAUGGAUCUGUUAGCAUUUGAGAUUUACUUCUCAUCCCAGUGUACUCCAUGGUCCUGCUGUCCAGCCUGUCUCUCUGCUCCCUAUCGCCGCUCCUCAUGGAGGCAAGAAGAGCAGAGGGGCCAAGGAGGCAGUUUGAGAAUGGAAUUACAUGAUGGAGACCUGUUCCAAUGCUGUAUUCCCUAUAGGUUCCCUGCCAUAUGUAUGGCUGGUAGGCUGGAUGGGCAGUCUUUUUCCAGGCUGCUCAUGCAAACUUCAGCCAGCAACUUGACACUCCUCAUCACCUCUCAGCCUUCAGGAGGGAAUCCUGACCUGACAGAUCUGAGCAACUCCAUCAGCCUAGGACAGCUGUUGAUGAACCUGAUCAGAUGGGACUACUCACAGUAGUAACCAUUAUACUGCGUAGUAAAUGCUUGCAGGAUGAGGCCCUUAAUUAUUUCCUCACUAUUAAUAAGCAGCAAAUAGAGAAUGGCUUCAGCUCUGGCAGUUCUGUAAUCUCUGGAUCAUAGAGUUGUCUUGUCUUCUUAGAAUCUUCUUUAAAGUGUGUUUGGCUGUAUUAGUUAUUAAGCAGAUACCUGGGUAUCUGAAAUCCACAUAAUUAACAAAAAUAUGGCACUUUGCCUUGUCUGCCUUGCCUUUUCCUUCCAAGUGUUAUAGUAUUGCUGAAACUGAUUUCUGAUUUACUGCAGUGUAGCCAUUGUGGAUUACUAGCAAACAUGUUUGUCAGUAUUCUUAUAAUCCAGUACUGCCAUAUUGCAAGAACACAUGAGCCCCAAAGCAAAAUGUAAGAUAACAAAUUCAGCCAGUGAAAAAGGUGAAAAUUGACUUCGAGGUGAUGAUAGAAUGGUGAGAAGUUAGAGUUUCAGAAAUUUUCCCUAGUGUUGUCAUCUUUGUACUCUAUCCUAAUUUGAAUUGAUGUGAAUAUAGGAUAGAGAAAUCUCAUAAUCUGUAACUUUUUUUAAUGCAAAUGUAUAUACUACCAUCGAUUUUAAGAAAAUCCUAAAUAUACUGCUGUAUAGAGCAACUGCACUAACCAGACUGUUUAAAAUUGUUGUUUAAUUAGGAUUUCAGCAUUUUCAUGUCAAAUUUACUGUUAAGAACUUAAGAAUGGCCAUACUGGUUGAGACCAAGGGUCUAUCCAGCCCAGCAUCCUGUCUGCCGACAGUGGCCAAUGCCAGGUGCUCCAGAGGGAGUGAACCUAACAGGUAAUGAAAUCAUCAACAUUUAAUUAGUAAAGAGCAAGCUACUUCGGAGCCCAAUCCUGCAACAUUUAUAUACAAGUGGGCCCUCUGAACUCCAUAGGAUUACUCACAUGCCUAAAGUUGCUCACUUAGUAAGUGUCUGCAGAAUCAGAUCCUAAGACCCCAGUUCUGCAAUGAGCUCUUCACAAGUAGACCUCUGUACUCAAUGGAGCCCCACCACCUUCAGUGGGACUGUAGGUAGAGUUCACUGCAGAAUUGGGGUCAAAGGCCCCAGCCUUGCAGCCGAUAGCACAUCGGAGGACCUUUGCACUCACAUGGAGCCCUUCUGACUUCAGUGUGGCUCUCUGGGGGUACACCAGUCCUCCUACAGGCUGUAGGAUUGGGGCCUUGGUGUGUCAAUUGUGUAUUCAACUAAUGUUCAAACAUAAAUGAUUUUUAAUGAUUAUCUAUUGUGGGGUGAAAAAAAUCCUAACUUUAGAAAUGUCAUUUUCAUAUUCCAUAUCUUUUAGAAAUCUGUGUAAUCUAUUCAACAUAUUCAUUUAAAAAAUCUGUUGUACCUCAUUUUUCACAAUAUUAAUUACUAUCAGU
Chelonoidis abingdonii (Abingdon island giant tortoise) is the source of this 1957-nucleotide non-coding RNA. NCBI's taxonomy places the organism in Eukaryota, Metazoa, Chordata, Testudines, Testudinidae. The record is from RefSeq and is a predicted model, not a curated record.